This 404-nucleotide ribosomal RNA is filed under the name uncultured bacterium. Its description in RNAcentral is "bacterial SSU rRNA". It matches the Rfam family "Bacterial small subunit ribosomal RNA", at positions 355 to 776 of the family's 1533-position model. The record is from RNAcentral.
UGGGGAAUAUUGCACAAUGGGCGAAAGCCUGAUGCAGCAACGCCGCGUGAGUGAUGAAGGCCUUCGGGUUGUAAAACUCUGUCUUUGGGGACGAUAAUGACGGUACCCAAGGAGGAAGCCACGGCUAACUACGUGCCAGCAGCCGCGGUAAUACGUAGGUGGCAAGCGUUGUCCGGAUUUACUGGGCGUAAAGGAUGCGUAGGUGGAUAUUUAAGUCAGAUGUGAAAUACCCGAGCUUAACUUGGGUGCUGCAUUUGAAACUGGAUAUCUAGAGUGCAGGAGAGGUAAGUGGAAUUCCUAGUGUAGCGGUGAAAUGCGUAGAGAUUAGGAAGAACACCAGUGGCGAAGGCGACUUACUGGACUGUAACUGACACUGAGGCAUGAAAGCGUGGGGAGCAAACAGG